GACGAACGCUGGCGGCGUGCUUAACACAUGCAAGUCGAACGGAAAGGCCCUGCUUGCGGGGUACUCGCGUUGGGAACGGGUGGGUAACACGUGGGUGAUCUGCCCUGCACUUCGGCAUGAGCCUGGGCAACUGGGUCUAGUACCGGACAGGAGCCAUUUUUAAUGUGAUGGUUGGAAAGUUUUUUCGGUGUAUGAUGAGCUCGCGGCCUAUCAGCUUGUUGGUGGGGUGAUGUCGUACCAAGGCGGCGACGGGUAGCCGGCCUGUGAGGGUGGACGGCCACACUGGGACCGAGAGGCGGCCCAGACUCCUACGGGUGGGAGAAGUGGGGAAUCUUGCACAAUGGGCGCCAGGCGGAUGAAGAGACGCCGCGGGGGGGAUGACUGUCUUCGGGUUGUAAACUCCUUUCGCUAGGGACGAAGCUUUUUGUGACGGUACCUAGAUAAGAAGCACCGGCUAACCACGUG
RNAcentral lists this ribosomal RNA (465 nucleotides) under uncultured bacterium. RNAcentral describes it as "partial 16S ribosomal RNA". It matches the Rfam family "Bacterial small subunit ribosomal RNA", at positions 28 to 507 of the family's 1533-position model. The record is from RNAcentral.